UACGUAGGUGGCAAGCGUUGUCCGGAAUUACUGGGUGUAAAGGGAGCGUAGACGGCGAUGCAAGUCUGAAGUGAAAGGCGGGGGCCCAACCCCCGGACUGCUUUGGAAACUGUAUGGCUGGAGUGCAGGAGAGGUAAGUGGAAUUCCUAGUGUAGCGGUGAAAUGCGUAGAUAUUAGGAGGAACACCAGUGGCGAAGGCGGCUUACUGGACUGUAACUGACGCUGAGGCUCGAAAGUGUGGGGAGCAAACAGG
RNAcentral lists this ribosomal RNA (253 nucleotides) under uncultured bacterium. RNAcentral's name for it is "partial 16S ribosomal RNA". It matches the Rfam family "Bacterial small subunit ribosomal RNA", at positions 524 to 776 of the family's 1533-position model. The record is from RNAcentral.